Molecule: ribosomal RNA, 934 nt
Filed under: Enterococcus faecalis
Lineage: Bacteria; Bacillati; Bacillota; Bacilli; Lactobacillales; Enterococcaceae
Description: bacterial SSU rRNA
Rfam family: Bacterial small subunit ribosomal RNA
Source: RNAcentral
AUGCCUUAAUACAUGCAAGUCGAACGCUUCUUUCCUCCCGAGUGCUUGCACUCAAUUGGAAAGAGGAGUGGCGGACGGGUGAGUAACACGUGGGUAACCUACCCAUCAGAGGGGGAUAACACUUGGAAACAGGUGCUAAUACCGCAUAACAGUUUAUGCCGCAUGGCAUAAGAGUGAAAGGCGCUUUCGGGUGUCGCUGAUGGAUGGACCCGCGGUGCAUUAGCUAGUUGGUGAGGUAACGGCUCACCAAGGCCACGAUGCAUAGCCGACCUGAGAGGGUGAUCGGCCACACUGGGACUGAGACACGGCCCAGACUCCUACGGGAGGCAGCAGUAGGGAAUCUUCGGCAAUGGACGAAAGUCUGACCGAGCAACGCCGCGUGAGUGAAGAAGGUUUUCGGAUCGUAAAACUCUGUUGUUAGAGAAGAACAAGGACGUUAGUAACUGAACGUCCCCUGACGGUAUCUAACCAGAAAGCCACGGCUAACUACGUGCCAGCAGCCGCGGUAAUACGUAGGUGGCAAGCGUUGUCCGGAUUUAUUGGGCGUAAAGCGAGCGCAGGCGGUUUCUUAAGUCUGAUGUGAAAGCCCCCGGCUCAACCGGGGAGGGUCAUUGGAAACUGGGAGACUUGAGUGCAGAAGAGGAGAGUGGAAUUCCAUGUGUAGCGGUGAAAUGCGUAGAUAUAUGGAGGAACACCAGUGGCGAAGGCGGCUCUCUGGUCUGUAACUGACGCUGAGGCUCGAAAGCGUGGGGAGCAAACAGGAUUAGAUACCCUGGUAGUCCACGCCGUAAACGAUGAGUGCUAAGUGUUGGAGGGUUUCCGCCCUUCAGUGCUGCAGCAAACGCAUUAAGCACUCCGCCUGGGGAGUACGACCGCAAGGUUGAAACUCAAAGGAAUUGACGGGGGCCCGCACAAGCGGUGGGAGCAUGUGGUU